Molecule: long non-coding RNA, 288 nt
Organism: Grammomys surdaster
Lineage: Eukaryota; Metazoa; Chordata; Mammalia; Rodentia; Muridae
Exons: 3
Source: RefSeq, a predicted model, not a curated record
GCUCUUCCGAUCUCUCACAUAGAGCCUUCGGGAAGGGCCAUGGAGACAGGGUCUACUCUCAUAAUUUGCAUCUCCAGAUAGCCCAUUGCCUGCUUCUGGUUGACUCACAUGGACAUUGAAUGGGGCCUCAAGUUUAAGGUUGUGAGACUUAAAGGUAGAGGCUGGAGAAAUGUGUGUGCCUGUUUUCUUUGUUCUGGAGCUACACAGGGUCUUGAUCUUGGUCUGUCUCUCUGUCUCUCUGUCUCUCUGUCUCUCUCUCUCUCUCUCUCUCUCUCUCUCUCUCUCUCU